This 225-nucleotide unclassified non-coding RNA is filed under the name Hevea brasiliensis (rubber tree). Lineage: Eukaryota; Viridiplantae; Streptophyta; Magnoliopsida; Malpighiales; Euphorbiaceae. The record is from RNAcentral.
UGUAAUGGCAGAAGGAGUGUUAUCGGACACCCCUCCCCUGCAGUUGGAAGCCACUACUCACUUCAGAAAGCUAUUGUCAAUUGAGCGCUGCCCUCCCAUCGAUGAGGUGAUAAAAGUAGGUGUUGUUUCUUGCUUUGUGGAGUUCCUGGAUAGGCAUGAUCUGCCUCAGCUCCAAUUUGAAGCGGCUUGGGCAUUAACAAAUAUUGUGUCUGGGACAUCAGAACA